AAAAACAUGGCUUCUUGCUAAAUAAAUAUAAGAAGUCUGACCUGCCCAGUGAAAUUUUUUAACGGCCGCGGUACUCUGACCGUGCAAAGGUAGCAUAAUCACUUGCCUUAUAAUUGAAGGCUUGUAUGAACGGUUUGACAAGAAUAAAGCUGUCUCUUUUUAAAUUCACAAAAUUUAAUUUUUAGGUGAAGAAGCCUAAAUAAAAUUGAAAGACAAGAAGACCCUAUCGAGCUUAAAACUUCUUUAUUAAAUAAUAAUAAAAUUAAAAUUUAAUAAAAGUUUUUAGUUGGGGCGACUGAGGAACAAAAAAGCUUCCUUUAAUUAAUUUUAAGCAUAUAAGUUUUGAUCCAAAAUUUUUGAUUAAAAAACUUAGUUACCGUAGGGAUAACAGCAUAAUUUUUCUUGAGAGUUCAUAUCGAAAGAAAAGUUUGUGACCUCGAUGUUGGACUAGGAUAUCCUGAAAGAUGUAGAAGUCUUCAAUGGUGGUCG
This 489-nucleotide ribosomal RNA is filed under the name Pyrgophorus parvulus. Its description in RNAcentral is "partial large subunit ribosomal RNA". It matches the Rfam family "Bacterial large subunit ribosomal RNA", at positions 1809 to 2577 of the family's 2925-position model. The record is from RNAcentral. Lineage: Eukaryota; Metazoa; Mollusca; Gastropoda; Littorinimorpha; Cochliopidae.